Long non-coding RNA from Malaya genurostris, 5087 nucleotides. RefSeq lists it as uncharacterized. The record is from RefSeq and is a predicted model, not a curated record. The transcript has 4 exons. Lineage: Eukaryota; Metazoa; Arthropoda; Insecta; Diptera; Culicidae.
GGUUGAUGACGACGGGCGGACAUAUUUUAUUACCGAAUCGAGCAGUGUUCUCAGUUUAAAAUUUAAAAUGCGCAUGUUUGUACGACGGGUCUGUCGUAUUCAAAUCGGGAUUCGGUAUGCAAAACAGCUUGCCCAGAGGACGAAACGUCCUUCAGUCGUUCGUAUAUCGGCAUGGAAGCAACACAUCUACCAGGAUUGGAGCAUUUUGGAGUACCAGUGAUGAAAGAAAGAAGACUUCUUUUGGAUUAUUUGAUGCAGGAUGGAAUCUGCCAAGGUGGCACUAACAGAAGACAAACUUUUCUCAUCACAUAAUUUGGCCAAGCUGUACUGGCUCACAUGUAGCUGUGUCUGACGUAGGAAAUCAAUUAGAGCAGUUUUGUUGGAACACGGUUCGCUCGUCGAUUGCUGUCUUAUGAUAGUUUUAUUUUUAGCACAUUUUGGACUGCAUCCAAUUCACCGACGACGACGAUGACCCAAGCUUGGAAUUGGAUUGCAAUCAAGUUCUAGAUAUGUACUAGGGAUGGGAAAGUGCCAAAAGCUGUCAUGUGGCUGACACAAGGUCACUAACCAUUGCAUCGUAUUACCGGGAGCGCACCGAGAAACUGCGGAAACCCAUUAUAAGGCGGCAGUCAACGAACCUGCUGGCAGCUGAAAUGCCAACAGCACGAUUUCGGGUGGAAAUUUGUGUGGGCUAUCGACGUCGCUCAUUUACUUUUUACAUGUUGUUAAAUGCUUAAUUGUUAUUAUGAAAAUUUCACCAACAACAAAAAAAAAAAAGAAACAACUUCCCUGAUCUGGAGCCAGGCAGUUUUUACCAAUGGCAGAGAAUCGUCCCGUUACGGUUGAAAGCUUUAAUGGUUAAUGGUCGACUAAUGAAGAUGCCCGUGCUGGCAUGAGUAACUUGCACCUCCAAACAGCACUUUCCGUAUGUGGAACAUUACACGUUUGCAUUGCCGAGGCUCGAGGCUCCCGUUGGUUUAAGUGAUUUUGGUAAUUUAAUUUGAUUAAAUAAUAUUCCGGACGGUUGGUAACAAUGUGGUGAAAAUAAUAUUUGCUUGCAUGAUUUUCAACAAUGAUUAUUACCUUUAAUCUAUGAUAAUUUUUAAUUUUAGGAUGCAUUUGAAACGCCCGGUGCUAACUGGAGGACCGUAAUAAAAUGUCGCAUUCGUUUGUUGAAAGAAAUCCCUGAAAAGCGGUGCACUCAUUCAAAUCUAAUUUAUGACCUAGCCCCGUAAAUUUAACAAUAUUAGUUGAAUUUAGAAGGUGAGCAGAAAUUUAUCAACCUUGUCCAGAUCCUCAGCCAAAAGAAGAAGAAAGGUUGUUAAUUAAGGUUGUAAAAAAAGAGUUGGUCUACCACCCUAGCCCCACAUGCAUGGUGGGAUUUACGGAAAGGGGAAAUUUUAAUUGAGUAUCUUUUUACAAUACAGGAAUUCCCAUUACAUAUAUUUUAAACCUAUUAAGAAGAAAUGAGAAAGACACUAAACAGCUUGUUUUCGUUUGUUUUAUAAUUUAUCAUCGCCUACUGCGCUGUUCAAAAACGACCCGACUAGCCAACGCAGUCCCGGGUCACCUUUCUUCUUUAUCGCUGCUCUUUCGAUAUGUGAUGACGAAAACCGUGACUAAUGCUGCACCUGUGUAUAUUUACAACUUCCCAUGUGCCUCUUCCGACUGGAACUGGGAACAGGGAGGACUAAUUUUACGAUGUGUCGGGGAAUCGAAGCGGGAUCUUCUACUCUCAAGGAUUGGAAUAACGCGAGUUCGCAAUAAGGAGCCGUUCCGUCAUAUAACGGUUAUAAUUGUAUGAAAUAUGUUAUAUUUGCAUAUCUCAUUCCAAAUAAUCGCCAUUCUCUUCUAAUCAUUUUUCGUACUACUGCAUUUAUCUUUUUUUUUUGCUUCAAUAUAGAUAUAUUACAGGAAUAUGUAAUUAUAUAAAAUUUCAAAGUUUCGAAGUCGUGAAACUUCGACUUCUGAUAAAUUUGAUAUUCGAUUGGAUGUAUCGGGGGAUGAUUGCUUUUUUACAACCAGCCUCGAAAAAUGUUAAAUUUUUUCCCCAUUCAGAAAAUAUUUAUACAUUUCUAGAUUCUCCAUAACAUAACUUUCCUUUCUUUUUGUCUUUCUCAUACAGAAAGUUUGAAAAAGCAACAGUGAAACCAACAUUCGAGCCAGUUCGUCGAGUACGUAAAAAGUGUCUGUGAUCUCGGAGAUGGCUGAGCUGAUUAUCACAAAAUCCAUAGUCUCAUGCACGGAAAACUCUCCGAUCAUAAAACUGCGAUAUCGCAGUUUUUGAUUUUUGCGAUAGUUGAUUCAACUAAUUUCUUUUUGAUUCAACCAUUAUGGUUUUUAAUUUGCAUAUAUUAAAGUAGUUGAAAAAUUUGUUGAUUUAAAUGCUGUCAAAUGCCGGAGACAGCUGAAAGCAAAACAAUAAUCGCAAUGCAAAAUCAACAACUUUUUUAGUUGAAAUCUGUUCGCGUCGCUUCAAAAUGUCAAUGAAAAUAACAUCGAUGGUUAAAGCGUUUGCGAAAAUUGAGUUCAUUCGAUUUGAAGAAAUUUAUGAUUCCAUAACAAGUGUUUAUAGAACAGAGGUGUUGUGAUAAAGUUUACCUUGUUUAAGAUUAAAAUAAGUUGGUAAGAAAUUUCAAAACGUUGACUGAUUUGGUGUUACAAAAAUCAAACAAUUCAUGAACAUUUGUACUCCUGUACAGAGAUAUUGAAAUUAAAAAGAUUGCUAAUAAUGAAAUGUCCUCAAUCAAAUGUAUAUGCGUUUGUCUAUACUUAAUCGUUUUCGUUAAAUCCAUGUUAAUGAAUGAUCAUCUCGUAAUCCUUCAGGGAUGCGCAAAAGUUUUAUGCUUCAUUCGAUUGGUUUAACGUUAACAGAAAAAUGUCCAUCUUCUUUCAUGAAUAAAACAACAGUUACUUUGGCCCGAAAAAUGAAAACAAAGAUUGCAAUGCGUAGAAGCUCUACGCGCAGAACUAGACAUAAGCGCACAUUAACAUAUAGUUGAUAACAGUUAAGAACACAUUUAUUAAUAACCUGGGCUGGAAAAGCAAGAUUAAAAAAUCGUCCAAUCGAGAUCACUGCCAAAGAAGAUCACUUGUGAUUUUUACCAAUAAUUAUCACUACUGAUUUGAUCUUUUUAAGAUCGGUGAUCUUCAAAUUACAUCGAUCAAAACCGGUACUGAUCUUUCGUCACACAAAAUCGGUAGCGAUUUUGAGCUAAAAUGAUUAUUGAUUCAUGAAAGAUCAAUCAUUGGAUGAUUCGAUCAGCUUUGAUCUACGUCUGAUAUCGUUGAUCUCCCGCAGAGAGGUGUGAGAAUUUGUGAUAACAGUAAUCCUCCAGGAAUUAAUAACUAAGGAUAACGCGUGUCGUGUUUCAAAAUCAUGGAAAAUUGUCAAUUUUGUAUCUUUGGGGGAUGCUCCUCUAAGUGUUAUCCAGACUCUGCACCGAUAUGUAAGAACACUUCGUAAGAAGCAACAAAAGAAAAUUUAUGGAAAUACCCAACUUAGAUAAACAAAAAAUAUCCAAAGGGAGAAUUUUUCAACAAUCCCUCCGCAGUAAAAUGUGAAUACUGGUGUCUACGGUAAAUCUGGUUUCAGUGCUUACGUCUAGAUUAGUCUAUAGGUUAAAAUACUCACUGUUUCCUUGUAAAUAUUUUCCUAUUUUUGUUUUCUCCUUCUUCAAAAUAGCUCGUUUUCCAUAUUUAAAUUAUUUUUCCUCCAGGUUCAUUUCAAUAAUAUUCAAUUUUCUUCAGCAAAUUUUCCAUAUUUUGUUUCAACUUCUUCCAAUUAAAUAUAUUUGUUCCAUAACAGAUCCAUUUUAUCAAUAAUUUUCCAGUUCAGAUGUUUGAUUUAUCGCACAUAGCUCCGUCGUCCCAGGAAAUAAAAUUUUUAUCAACAACCGAUAAAACUAUACAUAAUAAAAUACUUCCCUUGAAUUGUUUGUUGUUGUUGUUGUAUUUUAUUGUUUUUGGUUAGAGGAUCGUAGCCUCAUAUCCGCCACUGUCUCCUUGAAUUGAUUGAAUCGAGUUCAAAAGAAUUGCAUUGACAUCGAAUAAACCUCUCGGCAACGCACCAGAGUGGUCAGGUCGUUGUUCCAAAAAUCUGCACACAACGUUUGUAUCAGAAAAUUGUGAAUGGAGUUAAUUUCAAACAGCAAAAAGGCCCCACAGCUACAAUUCGUUAUUCCUAAACAAGCCAAAACCGAAAAUCAGUAUUUAUUUGUAUCAAUUGUGAAUAAUCGCGGGUAUUUUCGGAGAGCGUAUCGAUAUUAUUGUAUAGAGAUUAUAACAGAUCGGCUGAAAAGUUCGUAUCGUUUCUAUGAGAGGGCGCCACUAGAAUUAAAUCCAUACCAUUUUCAGUUAGUACCAACCUUCAAAAGAUACGUGUAUAAAUUUGACAGCUGUCUGAUUAUUAGUUUGUGAGAUAUUGCAUUUUGAGUGAAGCUACUUUUGUUAUUGUGGAAAAAAUGGAAAAAAGGAAUUUCGUGUGUUGAUGAAACACUACUCUUUGAUGAAAAAAAGUGCCGCCGAAACCAAAAAAUGGCUUGAUGAGUGUUAUCCAGACUCUGCACCGGGCGAAGCAACAAUUCGUAAGUGGUUUGCAAAAUUUCGUACUGGUCAUAUGAGCACCGAAGACGAUGAACGCAGUGGACGUCCAAAAAAGGCUGUUACCGAUGAAAACGUGAAAAAAUCCACAAAAUGAUUUUCAAUGACCGUAAAGUGAAGUUGAUCGAGAUAGCUGACACCCUAAAGAUAUCAAAGGAACGUGUUGGACAUAUUAUUCACGAAUAUUUGGAUAUGAGAAAGCUUUGUGCAAAAUGGGUGCCGCGUGAGCUCACAAUCGAUCAAAAACAACAACGAAAAACCAUGCUGAAAUUGAACGAAUUGGGCUUCGAAUUGCUCCCUCAUUCACCGUAUUCUCCAGAUUUGGCCCCCAGUGACUUUUUCCUGUUCUCAGACCUCAAGAGAAUGCUCGCUGGUAAAAAAUUUAGAAGCAAUAAGAGGUAAUCGCUGAAACUGAGGCCUAUUUUGAGGCAAAGGACAAAUCGUACUACAAAAAUGGUAUCGAAAAGUUUAAAGCUCGCUAUAAU